This 270-nucleotide long non-coding RNA is filed under the name Elaeis guineensis (African oil palm). Its description in RNAcentral is "long non-coding RNA (EGUI_LNC044154)". The record is from RNAcentral. Lineage: Eukaryota; Viridiplantae; Streptophyta; Magnoliopsida; Arecales; Arecaceae.
CUCUGGAUUGACUUCGAUUCCUCGAUUAGAGACCAUGAUGUUAGUUGUGUAUCCUAGAAGUCAAUUGUUCGUUGACAUAUUUUAUAAUUCUAAGACCUAAUUUUAUACUUGUAAAAUAUUUAUUAUUAAUAAAAGAUAUUUUUAUUUUCAAUCAUAUUUAUGUGUCUAUGAUUUAUCUUUGAAAUUAGUAAAGAUAAUUUUGUAUAUUCUCAAGGUAUUGGACAUUUGAGAUAUACAUUAUUAAUGGUUAGUUUCUAAAUACUUUCGAUC